GACGAACGCUGGCGGCGUGCUUAACACAUGCAAGUCGAACGGAAAGGCCCUGCUUUUGUGGGGUGCUCGAGUGGCGAACGGGUGAGUAACACGUGAGUAACCUGCCCUUGACUUUGGGAUAACUUCAGGAAACUGGGGCUAAUACCGGAUAGGAGCUCCUGCUGCAUGGUGGGGGUUGGAAAGUUUCGGCGGUUGGGGAUGGACUGGCGGCUGAUCAGCUUGUUGGUGGGGUAGUGGCUUACCAAGGCUUUGACGGGUAGCCGGCCUGAGAGGGUGACCGGCCACAUUGGGACUGAGCUACGGCCCAGACUCCUACGGGAGGCAGCAGUGGGGAAUAUUGCACAAUGGGCGGAAGCCUGAUGCAGCAACGCCGCGUGCGGGAUGACGGCCUUCGGGUUGUAAACCGCUUUCGCCUGUGACGAAGCGUGAGUGACGGUAAUGGGUAAAGAAGCACCGGCUAACUACGUG
RNAcentral lists this ribosomal RNA (468 nucleotides) under uncultured bacterium. Its description in RNAcentral is "partial 16S ribosomal RNA". It matches the Rfam family "Bacterial small subunit ribosomal RNA", at positions 28 to 507 of the family's 1533-position model. The record is from RNAcentral.